GGCCCGAUGGUGGAAUUGGUAGACACGCAGCACUUAAAAUGCUGUGCCUUAACAGCGUGUGGGUUCGAGUCCCACUCGGGCCA
This 83-nucleotide transfer RNA is filed under the name Candidatus Pacebacteria bacterium CG_4_10_14_0_8_um_filter_43_12. RNAcentral describes it as "tRNA-Leu". It matches the Rfam family "tRNA". From Rfam's summary of the family: Transfer RNA (tRNA) molecules are approximately 80 nucleotides in length. Their secondary structure includes four short double-helical elements and three loops (D, anti-codon, and T loops). Further hydrogen bonds mediate the characteristic L-shaped molecular structure. tRNAs have two regions of fundamental functional importance: the anti-codon, which is responsible for specific mRNA codon recognition, and the 3' end, to which the tRNAs corresponding amino acid is attached (by aminoacyl-tRNA synthetases). tRNAs cope with the degeneracy of the genetic code in two manners: having more than one tRNA (with a specific anti-codon) for a particular amino acid; and 'wobble' base-pairing, i.e. permitting non-standard base-pairing at the 3rd anti-codon position. RNAcentral also lists the same sequence under 1 other name. Lineage: Bacteria; Bacillati; Minisyncoccota. The record is from RNAcentral.